UUAUCAACAAAUUUAUUGAUUAAGAAUAUAACCAAAUUAUUAUUAUUUUUAAAGCCUAUAAACCUUAUAUUAAUGGAAACUGUCAAAAAUAUCAUUUUCAAAGUAUCACUUUUCAUGUUUAUACUAAACACUUUUACCCUCAUCUUUAAUGAAGGGUAAAAGACAUUUAUAACCUUUUCAUUAACUUUGACAAAAAAAAACAUAUGGUUAACUUAUCUAAACUUAAAACAUCAACUCUAAACCCUAAAUCAUCAACUCUAACCCUAAACCAUGAAACAUCAACUCUAAACCUUAAACCCCGAAACAUCAACUCUAAACCCUAAACCUUAAACCCUAAACCUUCAAAUCUAAACACUAAAACAUCAACUCUAAACCUUAAAAGUAAACCCUAAACCCUAAAUCUAAACUUAAAACAUAAACUUUAAACCCUAAAUCAUCAACUCUAAACCCUAAACCAGGAAACAUCAACUCUAAACCCUAAACCCCGAAACAUCAACUCUAAACCCUAAACAAUAAACCUUCAAAUCUAAACCCUAAAACAUCAACUC
This 548-nucleotide long non-coding RNA is filed under the name Brassica napus (rape). Its description in RNAcentral is "long non-coding RNA (BNAP_LNC020086)". The record is from RNAcentral. Lineage: Eukaryota; Viridiplantae; Streptophyta; Magnoliopsida; Brassicales; Brassicaceae.